Molecule: ribosomal RNA, 119 nt
Filed under: Ochotona princeps (American pika)
Lineage: Eukaryota; Metazoa; Chordata; Mammalia; Lagomorpha; Ochotonidae
Source: RNAcentral
AAGGGUAGUCUUGCUAUCCUAAAUGCAUCUGAGCAUGUCUGAUCUUGGAAGCUAAGCAGAGUUGGAUCUGGUUAGCACUUGGAUGGGAGACUCAAAGGGCAGAGCACUCAUCACCAGCA